GGUAUCAUGUACGCCUCACAUGAGAAGGAGGGACAGCCAAGAUAGAAACAGCUGUGACUUCGACCCCAUCUGCUUCUGGGCAGUUCAGCAAGCCUUUCUCAUUUUCUCCAUCAGGGACUGGCUUUAAUUUUGGGAUAAUCACACCAACACCGUCUUCUAAUUUCACUGCUGCACAAGGGGCAACACCCUCCACUAAAGAGUCAAGCCAGCCGGACGCAUUCUCAUCUGGUGGGGGAAGCAAACCUUCUUAUGAGGCCAUUCCUGAAAGCUCACCUCCCUCAGGAAUCACAUCCGCAUCAAACACCACCCCAGGAGAACCUGCCGCAUCUAGCAGCAGACCUGUGGCACCUUCUGGAACUGCUCUUUCCACCACCUCUAGUAAGCUGGAAACCCCACCAUCCAAGCUGGGAGAGCUUCUGUUUCCAAGUUCUUUGGCUGGAGAGACUCUGGGAAGUUUUUCAGGACUGCGGGUUGGCCAAGCAGAUGAUUCUACAAAACCAACCAAUAAGGCUUCAUCCACAAGCCUAACUAGUACCCAGCCAACCAAGACGUCAGGCGUGCCCUCAGGGUUUAAU
RNAcentral lists this small RNA (575 nucleotides) under Pan troglodytes (chimpanzee). RNAcentral's name for it is "processed transcript". The record is from RNAcentral. Lineage: Eukaryota; Metazoa; Chordata; Mammalia; Primates; Hominidae.